GACGAACGCUGGCGGCGUGCUUAACACAUGCAAGUCGAACGGAAAGGCCCUGCUUUUGUGGGGUGCUUGAUUGGCGAACGGGUGAGUAACACGUGAGUAACCUGCCCUUGACUUUGGGGUAACUUCAGGAGACUGGGGCUAAUACCGGAUAGGAGCUCCUGCUGCAUGGUGUGGGUUGGAAAGUUUCGGCGGUUGGGGCUGGACUCGCGGCUUAUCAGCUUGUUGGUGGGGUAGUGGCUUACCAAGGCUUUGAAGGGUAGCCGGCCUGGGAGGGUGACCGGCCACAUUGGGACUGAGAUACGGCCCAGACUCCUACGGGAGGCAGCAGUGGGGAAUAUUGCACAAUGGGCGGAAGCCUGAUGCAGCAACGCCGCGUGCGGGAUGACGGCCUUCGGGGUGUAAACCGCUUUCGCCUGUGACGAAGCGUGAGUGACGGUAAUGGGUAAAGAAGCACCGGCUAACUACGUG
RNAcentral lists this ribosomal RNA (468 nucleotides) under uncultured bacterium. RNAcentral describes it as "partial 16S ribosomal RNA". It matches the Rfam family "Bacterial small subunit ribosomal RNA", at positions 28 to 507 of the family's 1533-position model. The record is from RNAcentral.